RNAcentral lists this ribosomal RNA (380 nucleotides) under uncultured cyanobacterium. RNAcentral describes it as "bacterial SSU rRNA". It matches the Rfam family "Bacterial small subunit ribosomal RNA", at positions 376 to 770 of the family's 1533-position model. The record is from RNAcentral. Lineage: Bacteria; Bacillati; Cyanobacteriota.
CGAAAGCCUGACGGAGCAAUACCGCGUGAGGGAGGAAGGCUCUAGGGUUGUAAACCUCUUUUCUCAGGGAAGAACAAAAUGACGGUACCUGAGGAAUAAGCAUCGGCUAACUCCGUGCCAGCAGCCGCGGUAAUACGGAGGAUGCAAGCGUUAUCCGGAUUUAUUGGGCGUAAAGCGUCCGCAGGUGGCAGUUCAAGUCUGCUGUCAAAGGUCGGGGCUCAACCCCGAACAGGCAGUGGAAACUGAACAGCUAGAGUACGGUAGGGGUAGAGGGAAUUCCCAGUGUAGCGGUGAAAUGCGUAGAGAUUGGGAAGAACACCGGUGGCGAAAGCGCUCCGCUAGGCCGAAACUGACACUCAUGGACGAAAGCUAGGGGAGCG